AGUGAACGCUGGCGGUAGGCCUAACACAUGCAAGUCGAACGGCAGCACAGUAAGAGCUUGCUCUUACGGGUGGCGAGUGGCGGACGGGUGAGGAAUACAUCGGAAUCUACUUUUUCGUGGGGGAUAACGUAGGGAAACUUACGCUAAUACCGCAUACGACCUACGGGUGAAAGCAGGGGAUCUUCGGACCUUGCGCGAUUGAAUGAGCCGAUGUCGGAUUAGCUAGUUGGCGGGGUAAAGGCCCACCAAGGCGACGAUCCGUAGCUGGUCUGAGAGGAUGACCAGCCACACUGGAACUGAGACACGGUCCAGACUCCUACGGGAGGCAGCAGUGGGGAAUAUUGGACAAUGGGCGCAAGCCUGAUCCAGCCAUGCCGCGUGGGUGAAGAAGGCCUUCGGGUUGUAAAGCCCUUUUGGUGGGAAAGAAACGCAGCAGGUUAAUACCCCGCUGUUCUGACGGUACCCAAAGAAUAAGCACCGGCUAACUUCGUG
This 492-nucleotide ribosomal RNA is filed under the name uncultured bacterium. Its description in RNAcentral is "partial 16S ribosomal RNA". It matches the Rfam family "Bacterial small subunit ribosomal RNA", at positions 29 to 507 of the family's 1533-position model. The record is from RNAcentral.